ACUAAAGUGGCAGAAGCCGAAGUGCAAUAGAGUUAAGAUCUAUUUAUAAAAUAAAUUUUUCUUUAGUA
This 68-nucleotide transfer RNA is filed under the name Nuttallina californica. RNAcentral's name for it is "tRNA-Leu". The record is from RNAcentral. Lineage: Eukaryota; Metazoa; Mollusca; Polyplacophora; Chitonida; Tonicellidae.